This 237-nucleotide long non-coding RNA is filed under the name Parus major (Great Tit). Its description in RNAcentral is "lncRNA (ENSPMJG00000010296.1)". The record is from RNAcentral. Lineage: Eukaryota; Metazoa; Chordata; Aves; Passeriformes; Paridae.
GGAACCUGGGAAUGGGGAAGGAUAUUAAAGGAAUAAAGGUUUUGACAUCGCUGGAUGCCAGCAAAGCUGAGUGCUUAUAUCAAGAAAACUAGAUUUUAGAUUUGAAAAAUUAAGAAGAGCUGGAUGGAAAAACUCGGCUGCAAAUGUCAUAGUGGCAUAGAUGGAGACUGGAAUUGAACCCAAAUUGUAACCAGAAUGUAUUGCACCCAAAAAUGCAAAUAAAUGGAUCUGUAACCG